Molecule: ribosomal RNA, 253 nt
Filed under: uncultured bacterium
Lineage: Bacteria
Description: partial 16S ribosomal RNA
Rfam family: Bacterial small subunit ribosomal RNA
Source: RNAcentral
UACAGAGGGUGCAAGCGUUAAUCGGAAUUACUGGGCGUAAAGGGCGCGUAGGUGGGCAAAUAAGUCAGAUGUGAAAGCCCUGGGCUUAACCUAGGAACUGCAUUUGAUACUGUAAGUCUAGAGUGGAGUAGAGGGUAGCGGAAUUCUCGGUGUAGCGGUGAAAUGCGUAGAUAUCGGGAAGAACACCAGUGGCGAAGGCGGCUACCUGGGCUCCAACUGACACUGAGGCGCGAAAGCGUGGGGAGCGAACAGG